GGGCAAGUCUGGUGCCCUCAGCCGCGGUAAUUCCAGCUCCAAUAGCGUAUACUAAAGUUGUUGCAGUUAAAAAGCUCGUAGUUGAAUUUCGGGAUCAAUUUAUUGGUCGUGCUAUUGUACGUACUGGUAUUAUUGAUUCCUACCUUCUGACGAACCAUGAUGUCAUUAAUUUGGUGUCUUGGGGAAUCAGGACUGUUACUUUGAAAAAAUUAGAGUGUUUAAAGCAGGCA
RNAcentral lists this ribosomal RNA (230 nucleotides) under uncultured Glomus. RNAcentral describes it as "partial 18S ribosomal RNA". It matches the Rfam family "Eukaryotic small subunit ribosomal RNA", at positions 553 to 786 of the family's 1831-position model. The record is from RNAcentral. Lineage: Eukaryota; Fungi; Glomeromycota; Glomeromycetes; Glomerales; Glomeraceae.